Molecule: ribosomal RNA, 253 nt
Filed under: uncultured Clostridiales Family III bacterium
Lineage: Bacteria; Bacillati; Bacillota; Clostridia; Eubacteriales; Eubacteriales Family III. Incertae Sedis
Description: partial 16S ribosomal RNA
Rfam family: Bacterial small subunit ribosomal RNA
Source: RNAcentral
UACGUAGGUGGCGAGCGUUGUCCGGAAUUACUGGGUGUAAAGGGCGUGUAGGCGGGGAUGUAAGUCAGAUGUGAAAUACCCAGGCUUAACUUGGGAACUGCAUCUGAAACUACAUUUCUUGAGUAUCGGAGAGGAAAGUGGAAUUCCUAGUGUAGCGGUGAAAUGCGUAGAUAUUAGGAGGAACACCAGUGGCGAAGGCGACUUUCUGGACGAUAACUGACGCUGAGGCGCGAAAGCGUGGGGAGCAAACAGG